ACGAACGCUGGCGGCGUGCCUAAUACAUGCAAGUCGCGCGAAGUUUUUCUGGUGCUUGCCCUAGAAAAACUUAGCGGCGAACGGGUGAGUAACACGUAAAGAACCUGCCUCAUAGACUGGGACAACUAUUGGAAACGAUAGCUAAUACCGGAUAACAGUAUUUCUCGCAUGAGAGAUAUUUAAAAGUUGGUUAUGCUAACACUAUGAGAUGGCUUUGCGGUGCAUUAGCUAGUUGGUGGGGUAAAGGCCCACCAAGGCGACGAUGCAUAGCCGACCUGAGAGGGUGAUCGGCCACACUGGGACUGAGACACGGCCCAGACUCCUACGGGAGGCAGCAGUAGGGAAUCUUCCGCAAUGGGCGAAAGCCUGACGGAGCAACGCCGCGUGAGUGAAGAAGGAUUUCGGUUCGUAAAGCUCUGUUGUUAGGGAAGAAUGGAUAUGUAGUAACUAUACAUGUAAGAGACGGUACCUAACCAGAAAGCCACGGCUAACUACGUG
This 498-nucleotide ribosomal RNA is filed under the name uncultured bacterium. RNAcentral's name for it is "partial 16S ribosomal RNA". It matches the Rfam family "Bacterial small subunit ribosomal RNA", at positions 29 to 507 of the family's 1533-position model. The record is from RNAcentral.